Molecule: long non-coding RNA, 333 nt
Organism: Protopterus annectens (West African lungfish)
Lineage: Eukaryota; Metazoa; Chordata; Ceratodontiformes; Protopteridae
Exons: 2
Source: RefSeq, a predicted model, not a curated record
UGGCGACCCCUAACCGGGAAAAGCCGAAAGACACAACAAGUAUGCGGCAGCAAACAAGAAUCAACAUUUGCUACUCCCCACCAGUGAUCUGCAUAUUAAUUUAAACUUGAAGUAUUUUUGUCACAGGCACGUGGGUGUGAAAUGCCCCAGGGUAACAGAUUUCAGGCACUUAGCGCAACUGAGUAAUGUUCUGCAUUGUUAAUGAACUGUUUCUGGCUUUGUUGGUGUAUUAAUCCCCUGGAUGCGCAGUAGCAAGCCCUGCCCAAACCCUGCCUAACAUCCGGGAUCAUGGCGAUGUCACUGAACAAUCAUGAAUAAAUAUUUUUUUCAGUU